CAUGUGGAGCGCUUAGAAGUGAGAAUGCCGGUGUGAGUAGCGAAAGACGGGUGAGAAUCCCGUCCACCGAUUGACUAAGGUUUCCAGAGGAAGGCUCGUCCGCUCUGGGUUAGUCGGGUCCUAAGCUGAGGCCGACAGGCGUAGGCGAUGGAUAACAGGUUGAUAUUCCUGUACCACCUAUAAUCGUUUUAAUCGAUGGGGGGACGCAGUAGGAUAGGCGAAGCGUGCGAUUGGAUUGCACGUCUAAGCAGUAAGGCUGAGUAUUAGGCAAAUCCGGUACUCGUUAAGGCUGAGCUGUGAUGGGGAGAAGACAUUGUGUCUUCGAGUCGUUGAUUUCACACUGCCGAGAAAAGCCUCUAGAUAGAAAAUAGGUGCCCGUACCGCAAACCGACACAGGUAGUCAAGAUGAGAAUUCUAAGGUGAGCGAGCGAACUCUCGUUAAGGAACUCGGCAAAAUGACCCCGUAACUUCGGGAGAAGGGGUGCUCUUUAGGGUUAACGCCCAGAAGAGCCGCAGUGAAUAGGCCCAAGCGACUGUUUAUCAAAAACACAGGUCUCUGCUAAACCGUAAGGUGAUGUAUAGGGGCUGACGCCUGCCCGGUGCUGGAAGGUUAAGAGGAGUGGUUAGCUUCUGCGAAGCUACGAAUCGAAGCCCCAGUAAACGGCGGCCGUAACUAUAACGGUCCUAAGGUAGCGAAAUUCCUUGUCGGGUAAGUUCCGACCCGCACGAAAGGCGUAACGAUUUGGGCACUGUCUCAACGAGAGACUCGGUGAAAUCAUAGUACCUGUGAAGAUGCAGGUUACCCGCGACAGGACGGAAAGACCCCGUGGAGCUUUACUGUAGCCUGAUAUUGAAAUUCGGCACAGCUUGUACAGGAUAGGUAGGAGCCUUUGAAACGUGAGCGCUAGCUUACGUGGAGGCGCUGGUGGGAUACUACCCUAGCUGUGUUGGCUUUCUAACCCGCACCACUUAUCGUGGUGGGAGACAGUGUCAGGCGGGCAGUUUGACUGGGGCGGUCGCCUCCUAAAAGG
This 1031-nucleotide ribosomal RNA is filed under the name Staphylococcus aureus. RNAcentral's name for it is "partial 23S ribosomal RNA". It matches the Rfam family "Bacterial large subunit ribosomal RNA", at positions 1270 to 2297 of the family's 2925-position model. Lineage: Bacteria; Bacillati; Bacillota; Bacilli; Caryophanales; Staphylococcaceae. The record is from RNAcentral.